RNAcentral lists this long non-coding RNA (732 nucleotides) under Homo sapiens (human). RNAcentral's name for it is "HSALNT0162317". The record is from RNAcentral. Lineage: Eukaryota; Metazoa; Chordata; Mammalia; Primates; Hominidae.
CCCAGGCGGCUUUCCCAGGGCCACCACAAGGACAGUCAUCUAACUUGCCCCCAAGUGAUUUGGGCCAACCCAUGGCCACUGCAGAAGUGACUGACAGCGUGUUGUAGAAAUCCCACCACACCAAAAGCGGGGGCGGAAGAGUUCCCCACUCCCUGAUAGUGGGCUGCUGGCUAGAGAAGGCUGUGGCCCUGACAGCCUGACAUUCUGCUGCCCCCAAAGCAUGGGGGCAAGACACUGUCCCCUGAGCCUGUGACCUGCUGCAUCCUCACCUCCUGGGUGGGGGUCCAAGCCACGUUCCCUCUCUGAAGAUAACAACAAUUGCCCACAGCCUGGACCGCAUGUUUGCAGUGGGUCAUGGAGUUUCUGAACAGCAUGGCCUAGUGGACAGAGUGAGUGGGGCCAAUUGGAGAGGUGGUGGGGGCCUGGCUCCUGUGCCCUGAGGCUCACACUCCCUGCCCCUUUGUACCUCGCUCUCUAUUCCAGAUCGGAACACAAGGUGUCUUGAGGUGAAGUCUGUGGAGCCUCCACUAUGUGUGCAGGAGGUGAGCACUGAGGAGGCCCCGCUGUAGUAAGAAGGGUAAAAAAAAACAAUCAGUAUGGACAAGACUUUCAUGACUUGCCCUGGACCAAAGAUUAAAAACAACCUGGACAGGAGGUCUUUGUUGAAGCCAGCCUGAACAAUGGCAGAAAUGUCCUUUCUAAUGACAUCACUAUGAAGAGCACCACCUGUGU